AUGCAUCAUCCAUGGCCAGUUCCGGACUCGCCGUACCGGAGGAAGCUACGCGGAAGGCUCCGGCUAAAACACGGCUCGGCCUUGCCUUUGGGAACAGUAACGCGUUUCGUCUGCUCAGUCCUCCUGCGCUGCUACAAGCACCACCAUCGCCAGUUGCCACCCAUCCCAUCCCACCAGCGCUUGCACGGACCGAGACCGGCAAUGGCGAGCUCGGCGCCUCCCUUCCUCUUCCUCCUCCUCCUCGUCCUCGUCGCCGCUGCCGCGGCGGCCUCGGCCUCGGAGGAGCGCCCGCGCGUCACCCCCACCUUGGUCCAGUGCCACCCGCCGCAGGCGCAGGCAACCGCCAACGCCAGCAGCGCCAAGAAAGCCACGGCGUUCCGCGCCAACGCGCUCUCCCUCCUCGCCAAGCUCCCCGCCGCCGCCGCGCCCACGGGCUUCGCCUCCCUGCGCUCCGCCGGAGUGGUCGGACGCGACGUCGCGUUCGUCCGCGGGCUCUGCUUCGGGUACGCCACGCCGUCCCAGUGCCGCUCGUGCCUGGCCGCCGCGGCCAGGAAGCUCACCGACGCCUGCGGCGCCCGCGGCCGGCGCGCCGGCGUAUGGACGGACGCCUGCUUCGCGUCCUACGCCGACGCGAACCCCUCCUCGCCCAACUACGACGGCUUCCGCGCGCGCGUCAUCACCGGCGCCGACGCGCUCAUCACCAGCACCUCCUACGAGCUGCAGAGCCUCGCCGACCUGGCGUGGCGCAUGGGGCCGGUCGCAGCCACCAGCGCGAGGAUGCAGGUGGCCGUGGACUGGACGGCCGCGGCGAGUGACUACAGGAAGAACAGCACGUACUCGGCGCGGGUGGCGGAGACCUGCGAGUGGUCCUGGUGCCCCGGGCACUCGGCGCGGGCGGGGGAGACCUGCUGCUGGGGCCUCGACGCGUGGCGCGACGGCGUAGCGGGCGCCGUCGUCGGCUUUGACUGCUACCUGCGCUUCGACGUCGCCGUCGCCACCGCCAUUGCGCCGGCGCGGGUGCCCCUGCUGAAAAGGCUCGGUGAGCAGAGCACAUUGCACCCUCUCUUCCUCCUCUCCUUCUUCGCUAAGUACGUGGGACAGAGUCGUGGAAAGUAUUUUGAUCUGAUCACGGUGGACACAAUGGCUGCAGGGAAGUUGAUGAACGACCACCCUUUCCUCACCGCGGUGUUCGGGAUAGUCGGCGGCGGGCUGGCCGUGGCAGCUUUCUACGUGCUGAUUGAGGGGAUCUGCCGCUGGCUGGAGAGCAAGAUCAGGCCCAUCAACAACGCCCCAGUUGUGCCAGUAGCAGUUGCAGGUCCAGCGGCCGUCCGGGCGGGAGUGGUGAUGGACUGA
RNAcentral lists this ribosomal RNA (1353 nucleotides) under Triticum aestivum (bread wheat). Its description in RNAcentral is "partial small subunit ribosomal RNA". The record is from RNAcentral. Lineage: Eukaryota; Viridiplantae; Streptophyta; Magnoliopsida; Poales; Poaceae.